Molecule: ribosomal RNA, 654 nt
Filed under: uncultured Vibrio sp.
Lineage: Bacteria; Pseudomonadati; Pseudomonadota; Gammaproteobacteria; Vibrionales; Vibrionaceae
Description: bacterial SSU rRNA
Rfam family: Bacterial small subunit ribosomal RNA
Source: RNAcentral
UGCAGUCGAGCGGAACGAGUUAUCUGAACCUUCGGGGGACGAUAACGGCGUCGAGCGGCGGACGGGUGAGUAAUGCCUAGGAAAUUGCCCUGAUGUGGGGGAUAACCAUUGGAAACGAUGGCUAAUACCGCAUAACACCUUCGGGUCAAAGAGGGGGACCUUCGGGCCUCUCGCGUCAGGAUAUGCCUAGGUGGGAUUAGCUAGUUGGUGAGGUAAUGGCUCACCAAGGCGACGAUCCCUAGCUGGUCUGAGAGGAUGAUCAGCCACACUGGAACUGAGACACGGUCCAGACUCCUACGGGAGGCAGCAGUGGGGAAUAUUGCACAAUGGGCGCAAGCCUGAUGCAGCCAUGCCGCGUGUGUGAAGAAGGCCUUCGGGUUGUAAAGCACUUUCAGUCGUGAGGAAGGUAGUGUAGUUAAUAGCUGCAUUAUUUGACGUUAGCGACAGAAGAAGCACCGGCUAACUCCGUGCCAGCAGCCGCGGUAAUACGGAGGGUGCGAGCGUUAAUCGGAAUUACUGGGCGUAAAGCGCAUGCAGGUGGUUUGUUAAGUCAGAUGUGAAAGCCCGGGGCUCAACCUCGGAAUAGCAUUUGAAACUGGCAGACUAGAGUACUGUAGAGGGGGGUAGAAUUUCAGUGUAGCGGUGAAAUGCGUA